This 426-nucleotide ribosomal RNA is filed under the name uncultured bacterium. RNAcentral's name for it is "bacterial SSU rRNA". It matches the Rfam family "Bacterial small subunit ribosomal RNA", at positions 355 to 773 of the family's 1533-position model. The record is from RNAcentral.
UGGGGAAUUUUGGACAAUGGGCGAAAGCCUGAUCCAGCCAUGCCGCGUGCUGGAAGAAGGCCUUCGGGUUGUAAACCGCUUUUGUCAGGGAAGAAACGCUCCGGGCUAAUAUCCUGGGGUAAUGACGGUACCUGAAGAAUAAGCACCGGCUCACUACGUGCCAGCAGCCGCGGUAAUACGUAGGGUGCAAGCGUUAAUCGGAAUUACUGGGCGUAAAGAGUGCGCAGGCGGUUAUGCAAGACAGAUGUGAAAUCCCCGGGCUCAACCUGGGAACUGCAUUUGUGACUGCAUGGCUAGAGUGCGGCAGAGGGGGAUGGAAUUCCGCGUGUAGCAGUGAAAUGCGUAGAUAUGCGGAGGAACACCGAUGGCGAAGGCAAUCCCCUGGGCCUGCACUGACGCUCAUGCACGAAAGCGUGGGGAGCAAAC